This 454-nucleotide ribosomal RNA is filed under the name uncultured bacterium. RNAcentral describes it as "bacterial SSU rRNA". It matches the Rfam family "Bacterial small subunit ribosomal RNA", at positions 340 to 785 of the family's 1533-position model. The record is from RNAcentral.
UACGGAAGGCAGCAGUGGGGAAUAUUGCACAAUGGGCGCAAGCCUGAUGCAGCCAUGCCGCGUGUAUGAAGAAGGCCUUCGGGUUGUAAAGUACUUUCAGUCGUGAGGAAGGUGUUAAGGUUAAUAACCUUAGCAAUUGACGUUAGCGACAGAAGAAGCACCGGCUAACUCCGUGCCAGCAGCCGCGGUAAUACGGAGGGUGCGAGCGUUAAUCGGAAUUACUGGGCGUAAAGGGCACGCAGGCGGUUAAUUAAGUUGGAUGUGAAAUCCCCGGGCUUAACCUGGGAAUGGCAUUCAAGACUGGUUAGCUAGAGUCUUGUAGAGGGGGUUAGAAUUCCAUGUGUAGCGGUGAAAUGCGUAGAGAUGUGGAGGAAUACCGGUGGCGAAGGCGGCCCCUGGGACAAAGACUGACGCUCAUGUGCGAAAGCGUGGGGAGCAAACAGGGAUUAGAUAC